Molecule: long non-coding RNA, 550 nt
Filed under: Homo sapiens (human)
Lineage: Eukaryota; Metazoa; Chordata; Mammalia; Primates; Hominidae
Description: non-protein coding lnc-WARS-2:2
Source: RNAcentral
ACUCGGCGCCCCCACCCGGGCCCUGCCGGCAGGCACGAGGGGCGGGGCGCGCGGCCCGAGGUGAGGGACCGCGGGCCGGAGGGGAUCCAGCGAGUCAGCUGCCGCCGAGGGACCAGCGCGGGUCUAGCUGCUGCCGCCAUCCCCACCAUCCCUGACCGCGCCUGCCCGGGCUCCGCGCCAGGAGGAGCGGCCAGGCCCAGCCCCGGCACCGCGCGCUCGGGGACCCCGACGGCGCCCAGCCCGGCGAGGGGCCUCAGGGGGAGGACGAGGAGGAAAGGCGGCCUCGCCGGGGACCCGGCCAUGGCGCUGGACUUCUUGGCUGGAUGCGCGGGGGGUGUGGCAGGCGUGCUUGUGGGACACCCGUUUGACACGGUCAAGGGCAAGCUGUGAGUGGCAGGCACCAGACCAGCCUUGUGCUUGCUGGCAGCGCUACACGUGGCCGCUCUUCCCACUGAGCAAAGGCACAGCUGACGGCAAGGCAGGAUGCGCACCCUGAGCUGGGUUUGCGGGAGACUUCCAGUCUCCUUUUCUGGUGAGCCUAGGUGUGUGU